GGCUAUGUAGCUCAGUUGGUUAGAGCACACGCACUCAUAAUGCGGGGGUCACAAGUUCAAGUCUCGUCAUAGCCACCA
RNAcentral lists this transfer RNA (78 nucleotides) under Acinetobacter baumannii 1291820. RNAcentral describes it as "tRNA-Met". It matches the Rfam family "tRNA". Rfam says of the family: Transfer RNA (tRNA) molecules are approximately 80 nucleotides in length. RNAcentral also lists the same sequence under 1 other name. The record is from RNAcentral. Lineage: Bacteria; Pseudomonadati; Pseudomonadota; Gammaproteobacteria; Moraxellales; Moraxellaceae.